Non-coding RNA from Oreochromis aureus, 766 nucleotides. The record is from the annotation of a RefSeq genome assembly. Lineage: Eukaryota; Metazoa; Chordata; Actinopteri; Cichliformes; Cichlidae.
AUGUUUUUGUCUGUAGGUACUGACAGUCAAACACUGACUGAGUCUGAAUCAGUGAUUAAAAGGCCUGGAGACUCCCACAGACUGACCUGUACAUACUCAGGGUUCAGUGAUGAUAUUAAUGCUGCUUGGAUCAGACAGGCUGCUGGAAAAAGACUGGAGUGGAUUGCUUUUAUUGAGGAUGAUAGAAGCUAUAUCCACUACUCUCAGUCAGUCAGAGGCAGAUUUACCAUCUCCAGAGACAACAGCAGAAAGCAGGCUGAUAUAAAGUCAGAAGAAGAUGAGAAGCUCCCAUCAGAUCAUUUUGAACACCAACAUGUUCUCUGUAGCUCUGCUGCUGCUGCUGGAUCCUGUGUGAAAUGUGAAAAGCUGACGCAGACAGCCUCUGUGAUUGUGCAGCCAGGUCAGCGUCUGACCAUCACCUGUCAGGUCUCUUAUUCUCUUGGCUACUGGACAGCUUGGAUCAGACAGCCUGCAGGGAAAGGACUGGAGUGGAUUGGGAUGAAACAUACUUCAGCUUCAUACUAUAAAGAUUCACUAAAGAACAAAUUCAGCAUUGACUUAGACACUUCAAGCAACACAGUAACUUUAAAUGGACAGAAUAUGCAGCCUGAAGACACCGCUGUGUAUUACUGUGCCAGAGAGUCACAGUGACACAAAACAUCAACAGACCUGAACAAAAACCCCUCAGUGCAUGAACACAUUUGUAACAUGAAGCCACCAGAGGAGGCGCUCUAAGACUAAUAAUGAUUUUAAGGUAUAUUUAAGA